Non-coding RNA from Vigna umbellata (rice bean), 701 nucleotides. The record is from RefSeq and is a predicted model, not a curated record. NCBI's taxonomy places the organism in Eukaryota, Viridiplantae, Streptophyta, Magnoliopsida, Fabales, Fabaceae.
AGAUAUGCUUCUGAAGGAAUUGAAGCCGCCUGCAAAUGAGCAUAUAAAGAUGCUCCUGAAGGUUCAGUGCUAGAAGGUGAAGGAUUGACAUAAUGGGAAGAUAGACAGCAUGGAGGGAUCACAUAAGUUGAUUGGGUGGACUCCAUUGGUUUAUCUUAACAAAUUCACUGAGAUGUGGAGCAUAUGUUGUUUUCAAGAAAGAGAUGAUGCAACCUACUGCCAGCAUCAAAGACAGGUAAAUUCCUUUUCAUAUAUUUAUCUUGUUUUUUCGAGUUUGCAUAUUGUCAUAAAUUUCUGUUGUAUGGAGAAUCUCAGCUUUGCAGGUUCAGAAAUGGAUGAUGAAUCCAUUGUUCAUCUUGUUUAUCAUGCUUACAAUCUCACAAAAUUUCAUAUGUAUAUCAUCAAUCAAAGAUUAGAAGCAAUGGAAGCAGGGGAGUCUACUAACAAUGACUUGUUGAGCAUAUACAUAUUGUUGGUAUCAAAUUAUAGGGAGUUUUGAAAAAGGUAGUGGUGGAGGAAUGAGUUUAAGGGAAGUAGUUGAUGAAGUGAAACUCUUUUACUUUGCACGACAGGAAGAAAAUGCAGAGCUAUUGGUCUCAUGUUAAGCUUUUAUCUGUGUUAGGGAUUUUGUUUAGGUCAUCAACAUUAGUUUAUAUGUUUUUAAUUGAUGUAGUAGUUUUUGACUGUUAGUUUUUUCUUUG